AAGUGAUGUGCCCAAGGCCAAAGGUCUUUCUUGGCACCAAAAGUAGAACCCAGAAGAACUUCUAAGACAUCUGUUUCAUGGACAGCAUCCAGAUGAUGAGUGCAUGGUUGGAACAGAGACCUACACCAACAAGAUGUUCAAAACCAGAAAAGGGGAGCAAUCUCAGAUCAAUGGAGAAACACUGCUGCUAAAACUCCAGUUGUGCUGCUGCAUGCCCUGGAGUAUGAAACACCGGAAUACAGCUGUGAUGGGCCUAAACAGACAAAAAAGCUGCGAGAACUGCGGCCACUUUUGGAGCACAGUUCCAGCACCUUUGCA
RNAcentral lists this long non-coding RNA (318 nucleotides) under Gallus gallus (chicken). RNAcentral's name for it is "long non-coding RNA NONGGAT007245". The record is from RNAcentral. Lineage: Eukaryota; Metazoa; Chordata; Aves; Galliformes; Phasianidae.